Molecule: ribosomal RNA, 493 nt
Filed under: Ferrimonas sp.
Lineage: Bacteria; Pseudomonadati; Pseudomonadota; Gammaproteobacteria; Alteromonadales; Ferrimonadaceae
Description: bacterial SSU rRNA
Rfam family: Bacterial small subunit ribosomal RNA
Source: RNAcentral
UGCAGCCAUGCCGCGUGUGUGAAGAAGGCCUUCGGGUUGUAAAGCACUUUCAGCGAGGAGGAAAGGUUGUCGGUUAAUACCCGACAGCUGUGACGUUACUCGCAGAAGAAGCACCGGCUAACUCCGUGCCAGCAGCCGCGGUAAUACGGAGGGUGCGAGCGUUAAUCGGAAUUACUGGGCGUAAAGCGCAUGCAGGCGGCCAAGUCAGUCAGAUGUGAAAGCCCCGGGCUCAACCUGGGAAUUGCAUUUGAUACUGCUUGGCUAGAGUCCUUGAGAGGGGGGUAGAAUUUCAGGUGUAGCGGUGAAAUGCGUAGAGAUCUGAAGGAAUACCAGUGGCGAAGGCGGCCCCCUGGCAAGAGACUGACGCUCAGAUGCGAAAGCGUGGGGAGCAAACAGGAUUAGAUACCCUGGUAGUCCACGCCGUAAACGAUGUCUAUUAGGAGUCUGUGGCCUUGAGCUGUGGGUUCCAAAGCUAACGCAUUGAAUAGACCGC